UGGCGAACGGGUGAGUAACACGUGGGUGAUCUGCCCUGCACUCUGGGAUAAGCCUGGGAAACUGGGUCUAAUACCGGAUAGGACCAUGCUUUAGUGUGUGUGGUGGAAAGCUUUUUCGGUGUAGGAUGAGCCCGCGGCCUAUCAGCUUGUUGGUGGGGUAAUGGCCUACCAAGGCGGCGACGGGUAGCCGGACUGAGAGGUUGGUCGGCCACAUUGGGACUGAGAUACGGCCCAG
Molecule: ribosomal RNA, 235 nt
Filed under: uncultured Actinomycetales bacterium
Lineage: Bacteria; Bacillati; Actinomycetota; Actinomycetes; Actinomycetales
Description: partial 16S ribosomal RNA
Rfam family: Bacterial small subunit ribosomal RNA
Source: RNAcentral